GCGAACGCUGGCGGCAGGCUUAACACAUGCAAGUCGAGCGGGCAUAGCAAUAUGUCAGCGGCAGCCGGGUGAGUAACGCGUGGGAACGUACCUUUUGGUUCGGAACAACUGAGGGAAACUUCAGCUAAUACCGGAUAAGCCCUUACGGGGAAAGAUUUAUCGCCGAAAGAUCGGCCCGCGUCUGAUUAGCUAGUUGGUGAGGUAAUGGCUCACCAAGGCGACGAUCAGUAGCUGGUCUGAGAGGAUGAUCAGCCACAUUGGGACUGAGACACGGCCCAAACUCCUACGGGAGGCAGCAGUUGGGAAUAUUGGACAAUGGGCGCAAGCCUGAUCCAGCCAUGCCGCGUGAGUGAUGAAGGCCCUAGGGUUGUAAAGCUCUUUUGUGCGGGAAGAUAAUGACGGUACCGCAAGAAUAAGCCCCGGCUAACUUCGUG
Molecule: ribosomal RNA, 434 nt
Filed under: uncultured bacterium
Lineage: Bacteria
Description: partial 16S ribosomal RNA
Rfam family: Bacterial small subunit ribosomal RNA
Source: RNAcentral